RNAcentral lists this long non-coding RNA (547 nucleotides) under Brassica napus (rape). RNAcentral describes it as "long non-coding RNA (BNAP_LNC026105)". The record is from RNAcentral. Lineage: Eukaryota; Viridiplantae; Streptophyta; Magnoliopsida; Brassicales; Brassicaceae.
AAGUGGAACUGAAAAUACUUGCCUCAUUACGAACUUAAGUAUGGAAAACCUCUUUGGGAUAAAACUAUCAUUUAUGGAAAAAGAGUGCAAGUACCCACAGCCUAAGGAUUGGUCAGUGGGGUUUAAAGGGACUAGAUCAUUUUGGUAGGGUCCUUAGACCCUGUAUUAUGGCCGCGUUGGGUGGUAUGCCUUCCUUGCAUCACCUUAUGAACUUGAAGACCUCUUUGUAGCUGGUUUGCUGUCUCUCCAUUUCUUCUGACUUCAUGUCAUCUUCAAAGAAUUUAAUCCACCUCCAGCCUUUGUAAAUGAGACACAAGUACAUUAUUCAAAAAAAAAACAAUGCACAUGUAUCAAUUCUCAAAAGAUAGACCCAUCCAAGUAUAAUAGAGAAUGAAGAUUAUAUUCUUCCCUGUCAUCAUUUUGGUAGAAUGUUGGUGAGGAGUACACUCCAUUUUGGAUUAUGCACUUAACUCCAUAACUCCAUCUCUGACCUUGCAAUCCACGAGAACAUCCAACAUGAUGGAUGGUUGGUCAACAUGUGGUAUGC